UACGUAGGGGGCAAGCGUUGUCCGGAUUUAUUGGGCGUAAAGAGCGCGUAGGCGGCCGUACAGGUCAGCUGUGAAAACUCGAGGCUCAACCUCGAGACGUCGGUUGAAACCGUACGGCUAGAGUCCGGAAGAGGAGAGUGGAAUUCCCGGUGUAGCGGUGAAAUGCGCAGAUAUCAGGAGGAACACCGGUGGCGAAGGCGGGUCUCUGGGCCGAUACUGACGCUGGAGGAGCGAAAGCGUGGGGAGCGAACAGG
Molecule: ribosomal RNA, 254 nt
Filed under: uncultured bacterium
Lineage: Bacteria
Description: partial 16S ribosomal RNA
Rfam family: Bacterial small subunit ribosomal RNA
Source: RNAcentral